CUCAUAAUCAACAUUUAGGAAUUACAGUCAUUUUUACAUCAUCAUUAUAGCUUCAAACACAGUAAAAUACGGUGGACUUAAAUGUAUCACAUGACAGCGUCCUUUAGCGUUUCAUGGCAUCAAGUCAGACUUUUUUACUUCUCUUUUUCUUCUCCAGAGAUCAGCACUCUGCAAAAGAUCAUCUCCUUGCUGGUGGAGAUCAAAGAAGAGCAACAGAAGCAGUGGGUGGUGCUGAGGGACAUCCAAGCCCGACUGCAGGGUCAGACUGCUGACGACGAAGAGGAGGUGGAGGCACUGGACAUGGAGCUCCCUCUGAGGACCCUGAAGGAGCUGGAUGAGAUGGAGACCCAGCUGGAGGACCCAGCAGUCCAGAAGAGAAUGGUUGGUGUUGGCUCUGAGCUGAACUGGGUGGGCCAAGAGGAGCUUCAGGAACACUCGCCUCCAGGGGGUGCUCUUCCGUGCUCUGAAGCGAACUCCAGUAGGUAAGGAGGCUACCCACCACCAAUAUGCUGAUGUGGUGAAACGAUGGCUAUGCUUUGUGCCGUUCAGAAAGGGAGGGAGUGGCCGCCGCCGCUGGAAGCCUUCCGCGGACAUUUCACAUUCUGAGGAAACAGACAUUUUCAACCAAAGUUCAACACUCUGAUGUUUGUCUAACCAAAAUACUUGAACACAACAGUUUUAAUCCAG
This is a long non-coding RNA of Oreochromis aureus, 687 nucleotides long. The record is from Ensembl. Lineage: Eukaryota; Metazoa; Chordata; Actinopteri; Cichliformes; Cichlidae.